AUAGGCCUACGGGGCGCAGCAGUGAGGAAUAUUGGUCAAUGGACGAGAGUCUGAACCAGCCAAGUAGCGUGAAGGAUGACUGCCCUAUGGGUUGUAAACUUCUUUUAUAUGGGAAUAAAGUUUUCCACGUGUGGAAUUUUGUAUGUACCAUAUGAAUAAGGAUCGGCUAACUCCGUGCCAGCAGCCGCGGUAAUACGGAGGAUGCGAGCGUUAUCCGGAUUUAUUGGGUUUAAAGGGUGCGCAGGCGGAUUUUUAAGUCAUCGGUCAAAUCGUGGGGCUCAACCCCAUCC
RNAcentral lists this ribosomal RNA (290 nucleotides) under uncultured bacterium. RNAcentral's name for it is "partial 16S ribosomal RNA". It matches the Rfam family "Bacterial small subunit ribosomal RNA", at positions 333 to 620 of the family's 1533-position model. The record is from RNAcentral.